Molecule: long non-coding RNA, 248 nt
Filed under: Terrapene triunguis (Three-toed box turtle)
Lineage: Eukaryota; Metazoa; Chordata; Testudines; Emydidae
Description: Terrapene carolina triunguis (Three-toed box turtle) lncRNA (ENSTMTG00000002505.1)
Source: RNAcentral
CCCCGCCCCUUUGGCUGCUGGAGGCCGGAGCAGGCAAGUGGUUGAACUAUGCAUGACGCACAGACUGGCACAGAGUGACUUGGCUAAUGAAUUAGUUGCCUUCACUACAACUAAAGAAGACGGGUCUCGUCUCACUGUAGAGAUCCUGAAUGUCUUUGAACAUGAAGUACUCAACAAAAGAGUUAAUAAAACUCAUCAAAAAAAGGACAACAGAUACUCUGGAAUCAAGGAUAUCAACACCAUUCAGG